This 1624-nucleotide unclassified non-coding RNA is filed under the name Pogonomyrmex barbatus (red harvester ant). RNAcentral describes it as "orexin receptor type 2-like, transcript variant X1". Lineage: Eukaryota; Metazoa; Arthropoda; Insecta; Hymenoptera; Formicidae. The record is from RNAcentral.
GCGGAUCGCGUUAAAUUAAAAUUGUUUAUCCACGGCGUGGAUGCGCGAUUCGCGGGGGUGCGCUCGGAGGAGGGAGAGGGGAUGCUAUGACCAGGACCAGGGGGGUAGUGCCGACAAACAUGAGUCUCGCCGUAACGAUGAUCGUCACCUGGCUGGCCACGGCGACGCCGCGUUCCUGCGUCGCGCUCGACGACGCGGCCGAUUACUACUCGCUCGCGGACAACGACGGCGACUUCGAGUACACGAACGUCACGAAUUGCACGAACGACUACUGCAUCCCGGACGAGGACUACAUCGGGCUGAUGGUGCAGCACAUAUUCCCCGAGUUCUCCGACUGGGUGCUGAUCGCCAUGCACAGCGUCGUCUUCGUCGUCGGCCUGAUCGGCAACGCGCUCGUCUGCAUGGCCGUCUAUCGCAAUCACUCGAUGCGCACCGUCACCAAUUACUUCAUCGUCAAUCUGGCGGUGGCCGAUCUCCUCGUCCUGCUGAUCUGCCUGCCGCCGUCGGUCCUCUGGGACGUCACGGAGACCUGGUUCCUCGGACUGAAGCUCUGCAAGGCCGUGCCGUAUCUCCAGACGGUGUCGGUGAGUAUAAGCGUGUUGACGCUGACUUUUAUAUCGAUCGACCGAUGGUACGCCAUAUGCUUCCCAUUGAGAUUCAAGUCCACGACAGCCCGAGCGAAAACCGCCAUCAUAAUCAUCUGGCUGGUUUCGCUGCUUUUUGACAUUCCAGAGUUACUGGUGUUGCAUACAGUGCCAUCGAAUAGUCGAGUGCAGACUAUAUUAUUCACGCAGUGCAUCUGGUCAUGGAGUCAAGAAAGUCAAACCACCUUCACGAUUGUCAAGUUGAUCUUUUUAUAUACAAUGCCGUUGCUUCUCAUGAGCGUGGCAUACUGGCAGAUUGUGCGCGUUCUUUGGAGAAGCGACAUUCCAGGACAUAAUUUGUCCACUAGGAUCUGUCAUUCAACUGAGAUUCCACUAUCUGGAGGUGGAAAUCCAGAGGGUCAAUUAAGAUCUCGACGAAAAGCGGCGAAGAUGUUAGUCGCGGUAGUUAUAACAUUUGCGAUAUGUUUCUUUCCGGUGCAUUUGCUCUCUAUCUUAAGAUGUACCAUGACUUUACCGUCGAAUCAAUGGACGAUCGCCAUUAGCCUAAUUGCCCAUUGGCUUUGCUACUUCAACAGCGCGGUGAAUCCUGUCAUCUAUAAUUUUAUGAGCGGUAAGUUCCGGCGAGAGUUCCGCCGUAGUUUUCGGGAGUGCGGCACCCCGAGCAAGCAGCGGGCGAACACGCUGCCGGCGGGCCGUCGGCAUCCGCCGCCGCCGCCGCCGCCGCCGCCGUGCAGCGACGAGUAUACGAGGGGAUGCCAUAGCACAAGCUUGCGAAAUCGGCCGUUUUGACGGCGCGCGGCGAAACGAGUACCGUGGAAACCGACGAAAGUAUCCCUUGACGUAUCACCUGACGUGCGAGCGUGCGUCGUGGCCGAGACGACGUUUAACGGCGGGACGAGAACGGCGCUCGGAUAACGACGCUUGCGACGCUUAGACCGAUUGCGCUUAAAGCGAGCUAUAAAGGGAAAGUUUCGCAAGGAGUUCAAGCGUACCUUCCGAUGUUCCCACAACGGCGGAAC